AUUAGGGGAACCCUAUUAAGGAGGGGGGCCCCGAGUCCCCCUCGUUUUACAAGGGAUUCCCCUAGUAACGGCGAGUGAAGAGGGAAGAGCUCAAAUUUGAAAGCUGGUACCUUCGGUAUCCGCGUUGUAACCUCGAGACACGUUUYYYKUKCKRMRYWAKGGACAAUGUUCCUUGGAACAGGACAUCGUAGAGGGUCGAAAAUCCCGUACUUGCCAUGGAUGUACCGUGCUUUGCGAUACGUGCUCUWAGAGUCGAGUUGUUUGGGAUUGCAGCUCAAAAUGGGUGGUAGACUCCAUCUAAAGCUAAAUAUCGGGGAGAGACCGAUAGCGAACAAGUACCGUGAGGGAAAGAUGAAAAGCACUUUGGAAAGAGAGUUAAAAGUACGUGAAAUUGUCGAAAGGGAAGCGCUUGAAGUCAGCCAUGCCGCUCAGGACUCAGCCUGGCUUUUGCUUGGUGUAUUUCCUGGGUAGCAAGUCAGCAAUUGGUUUGGAUCGUCGGAGAAGCAUAGUCGGAAUGYKSYGCYYKYSKSCRYSUUAUAGCCUUCUAUUGGAUACGACGAUAUAGACCAAGGAACGCAGCGCGCCUUAUGGCGGGUCUUCGGACACCUUCGCGCUUAGGAUGCUGGCAUAAUAGGGGGGGGGGUGCCCGCCUCCUUCUAA
Molecule: ribosomal RNA, 660 nt
Filed under: Malassezia furfur
Lineage: Eukaryota; Fungi; Basidiomycota; Malasseziomycetes; Malasseziales; Malasseziaceae
Description: partial 26S ribosomal RNA
Rfam family: Eukaryotic large subunit ribosomal RNA
Source: RNAcentral